UAAUUAUUUAUUGAAACUUAAAUAAUUNGGCGGUAUUUUAGUUCAUUUAGAGGAAUCUGUUUAUUAAUUGAUAAUCCACGAAUGAAUUUACUUAAUUUAAAAUUUUGUAUAUCGUUGUUAAAAAAAUAUUUUUAAAUGAAAAUAAUAUUUUAAUUUUAUAAUUAAAAAUUAAAUCAGAUCAAGAUGCAGAUUAUAAUUAAGAAUAUAAUGGAUUACAAUAAAUUUAUUUAAAUGGAUUUUUUUUUGUAAUAAAAAUUUGAAAGUGGAUUUAAAUGUAAUUUUAUUUAUUUUAAUAAAAUGAUUAUAUAUUAAAAUAUGUACAUAUUGCCCGUCGCUUUCAUAAAUAAAUUGGAAUAAGUCGUAACAAAGUAGAGGUACUGGAAAGUGUUUCUAGAAAUAA
RNAcentral lists this ribosomal RNA (400 nucleotides) under Ostrinia furnacalis (Asian corn borer). RNAcentral describes it as "partial 12S ribosomal RNA". Lineage: Eukaryota; Metazoa; Arthropoda; Insecta; Lepidoptera; Crambidae. The record is from RNAcentral.